GGGCCCGUAGCUUAGCAUGGCUAGAGCGCCCGGCUGAUAUCCCAACAGACACCGGGAGGUCGAGGGUUCAAAUCCCUCCGGGCCCA
RNAcentral lists this transfer RNA (86 nucleotides) under Metallosphaera yellowstonensis MK1. It matches the Rfam family "tRNA". From Rfam's summary of the family: Transfer RNA (tRNA) molecules are approximately 80 nucleotides in length. Their secondary structure includes four short double-helical elements and three loops (D, anti-codon, and T loops). The record is from Rfam by way of RNAcentral. Lineage: Archaea; Thermoproteati; Thermoproteota; Thermoprotei; Sulfolobales; Sulfolobaceae.